RNAcentral lists this ribosomal RNA (228 nucleotides) under uncultured prokaryote. Its description in RNAcentral is "partial 16S ribosomal RNA". It matches the Rfam family "Bacterial small subunit ribosomal RNA", at positions 524 to 751 of the family's 1533-position model. The record is from RNAcentral.
UACGUAGGCAGCGAGCGUUGUUCGGAGUUACUGGGCGUAAAGGGUGUGUAGGCGGUCCUGUAAGUCUGGUGUGAAAUCUCCCGGCUCAACUGGGAGGGUGCGCCGGAAACUGCAGGGCUAGAGUGCGGGAUGGGAGAGUAGAAUUCCUGGUGUAGCGGUGAAAUGCGUAGAUAUCGGGAGGAACACCUGUGGCGAAAGCGGCGCACUGGACCACAUCUGACGCUGAGG